This 483-nucleotide ribosomal RNA is filed under the name uncultured organism. Its description in RNAcentral is "SSU rRNA". It matches the Rfam family "Bacterial small subunit ribosomal RNA", at positions 1 to 509 of the family's 1533-position model. The record is from RNAcentral.
AACGGAAGUCGUUAUAAUGAUUCUGAUACAGAUUUGAAGAUUUAUCUGAUAUGAAGUUGAAGUUGAUUUAUAACAAUGGCUUUAGUGGCGGACUGGUGAGUAACGCGUAAGUAAUCUGCCUAUCAGAGGGGAAUAACAGUGAGAAAUCAUUGCUAAUACCGCAUAUGCCAUAAUCAUCGCAUGAUGAUAGUGGGAAAGGAGUAAUCCGCUGAUAGAUGUGCUUGCGUCUGAUUAGCUAGUUGGUGGGGUAACGGCCUACCAAGGCGACGAUCAGUAGCCGGACUGAGAGGUUGAACGGCCACAUUGGGACUGAGAUACGGCCCAGACUCCUACGGGAGGCAGCAGUCGGGAAUAUUGCGCAAUGGAGGAAACUCUGACGCAGUGACGCCGCGUAUAGGAUGAAGGUUUUCGGAUUGUAAACUAUUGUCGUUAGGGAAGAUAAAAGACAGUACCUAAGGAGGAAGCUCCGGCUAACUACGUGCC